RNAcentral lists this transfer RNA (76 nucleotides) under Striuntius lateristriga (spinner barb). Its description in RNAcentral is "tRNA-Lys". It matches the Rfam family "tRNA". Rfam says of the family: Transfer RNA (tRNA) molecules are approximately 80 nucleotides in length. Their secondary structure includes four short double-helical elements and three loops (D, anti-codon, and T loops). The record is from RNAcentral. Lineage: Eukaryota; Metazoa; Chordata; Actinopteri; Cypriniformes; Cyprinidae.
CGCUAGGAAGCUAAACACCGGACAAAGCAUUGGCCUUUUAAGCCAAAGAUUGGUGAUUCCCGACCACCCCUAGUGA